Molecule: ribosomal RNA, 498 nt
Filed under: uncultured bacterium
Lineage: Bacteria
Description: partial 16S ribosomal RNA
Rfam family: Bacterial small subunit ribosomal RNA
Source: RNAcentral
GGAUGAACGCUGGCGGCGUGCCUAAUACAUGCAAGUCGAGCGAACGGACGAGAAGCUUGCUUUUCUGAUGUUAGCGGCGGACGGGUGAGUAACACGUGGAUAACCUACCUAUAAGACUGGGAUAACUUCGGGAAACCGGAGCUAAUACCGGAUAAUAUUUUGAACCGCAUGGUUCAAAAGUGAAAGACGGUCUUGCUGUCACUUAUAGAUGGAUCCGCGCUGCAUUAGCUAGUUGGUAAGGUAACGGCUUACCAAGGCAACGAUGCAUAGCCGACCUGAGAGGGUGAUCGGCCACACUGGAACUGAGACACGGUCCAGACUCCUACGGGAGGCAGCAGUAGGGAAUCCUCCGCAAUGGGCGAAAGCCUGACGGAGCAACGCCGCGUGAGUGAUGAAGGUCUUCGGAUCGUAAAACUCUGUUAUUAGGGAAGAACAUAUGUGUAAGUAACUGUGCACAUCUUGACGGUACCUAAUCAGAAAGCCACGGCUAACUACGUG